This 534-nucleotide unclassified non-coding RNA is filed under the name Hevea brasiliensis (rubber tree). The record is from RNAcentral. Lineage: Eukaryota; Viridiplantae; Streptophyta; Magnoliopsida; Malpighiales; Euphorbiaceae.
UGGUGCUUAUCUUGGAUUGACUGGAAGUAGGAUAUCAACACCUGCUGAUGCUCUCUAUGUUGGUCUGGGAACUCAUUAUGUCCCUUCUGCAAAUUUGGGCACAUUGAAGGAAGCUUUGCUUGCCACUAAAUUCUCCGAGGAUCCAGAUGAGGAGAUAAAACAACUGUUGACGAAAUACAGCAGCAACCCUAAUUCAGAACCCCGUUUGAAGUCACUUUUACCCAGAAUAAUUUCUACUUUUGCUGGUGACAAGUCCAUUAGGGAGAUACUAGAAGAGCUAGAACAUCAUCAGCAAAGCACUGAUACAUUGGUGGCAGAAUGGGCAAGGGAUGCUCUGCAAGGGAUUAGUAAGGGGGCCCCUUUUUCUCUCCGUCUCACCCAAAAGCUCUUCUCUAAGGUAGCAUCUGCACGUGGCGAAACUGACAACGACUUGUCCAGGCUCACUGGUGUCAUGAGAACUGAAUAUCGCAUUGCUUUAAGGUCCGCUCUACGGAGCGACUUUGCUGAAGGUGUCCGAGCAGUCUUAGUGGACAA